AUGUGAGGAGGGGUUUUAUAUUAUAAGGGGUAUAAAAAGUGGUUGUGAGUAGAGGAGAGAGAAAAUGUUACUGUUCAUCUGUAUAUUUGGGGGGACACUGUUCACCCGUUAUAAUUUUUUAAUAUAUUUUGAAAGUGGUUGUGAGUGGAAGUUAGAGAAAAAUGCAAUGAUAAUAUUAUUUAAUUGAAAGGAGAGAGAAAAAGUAUUUGUUUUUAGUGGAAAUAUAUUGAUAUAGGAGUUGUUUUUUAGUGGAAUGUAUUAAACUCUGAAACAUAGUGUAACAUCCGCACACCACAUAACACCACCACCCACUUCAUGUUCUCUCAACAGUUCCGAGACGUGCAAUUCAAAUAAUUGCAGUCAAACACAUAAUGCAGUUGAUCAUCGUUCCCUAAGACCUGACUAAACAGACCUGUGCCAUUACAAGACUACCAGAAAAUAACCCACCCCGGCAUUACAAGGUUGCCGGAAAAUAACACACCCCACCUUUGACACCACCAUUGUUCGAAAUCACCACUGUUGAGUUUCUGUCGGAAGCAACUGACCACUGCCAAAGAAAGACGCGACCACCGUGAACCGUCACGAUGAGCCGCCGUGACCGCUAAGAGGCGGAUUUGAAACCAUAACCUCUGACCUUCUCAGCCUAACAAGAGAUUUCGAAUUCACUUACCUGCGAGUGGUUUUCUCCGAGCACGUGGUGAGUCACACGAAGAUAAUGGUGGUAGAAAGGUUUGGAAUGUUGGAGAUAAUGAAGAUGGUGAUUGUAAUCGUAGAGGAAGAUGGAUAGAGGGAUAU
This 795-nucleotide long non-coding RNA is filed under the name Helianthus annuus (common sunflower). RNAcentral's name for it is "hypothetical non coding rna". Lineage: Eukaryota; Viridiplantae; Streptophyta; Magnoliopsida; Asterales; Asteraceae. The record is from RNAcentral.